AAAAAAGUAGCAUCCUUUUCCAAUAAGAAUCAAAGAUGAUAUUGAUGGUGAACGACCGAAAGGGUCAACAUGGUGGUUCAAAAGAACCUCUUUGAGGGCCUUUUCCGGUGGGUAUGCGUGUUUUUGCCGUUGACUAUGAUCGAGCUUGUCUCAGAAUGUUGGAGCAGAUGCUUUUGAAAUGCCGUUAUAAUGUCACGGCUACAACUCAAUCAAGAAAGGCGAUAGAGAUGCUAAGGGAAAACAAAGUUAUAAGCGAUGUACAUAUGCCAGGCAUUGAUGGCUUUCAGCUUCUUGAACUAGUGGGACUUGAGAUGGACCUACCAGUUAAUACAAUCAAUGAGCCAAAAUAACAAUCAAUGAUGCAGUGGUGACAGAACACAAGGAGCCAAAUUUGGUGAAGAAGGGUGUUGUGACUAUUGCUGAAACCAGUUAAAAUGGAAGACAUGUAUUUCGAAAGAAGGUUGAUUCCAAGGAUUAGAAGGCUUGCAAUGUGACUGAACAGGGCAUUCAAGGAGUUGCAUCAGAAAACUGUGCUAACCAUGAUAAAAGAUUGGAUAAAAAAAGGAAGGAACAAUCUGAAGACGCUGAUGAUAAUGAACAAGAGAAUGAGAAUGCUUCUCCUCAUAAGAAGCCUGGUUUGGUGUGGGUGAAGAGCUGCGUAGCAAGUUCAAAGCUGCAGUAUAUCACCUUGGCCUUGAUAAGGCUGUUCCUAGAAAAUUUCUUGAACUGAUGAAUGUUGAAGGGCAAGCCAUCUUUAGAGAAUUCCUGCACCAAAUGAACUUUAUCAUUUUCGACAUAACAACUAUGCAACUGGUAUUAGGCAGCUGAAUCCAGAUGAUUUCAAGUGAUUAUUUUUUAUCUGGAUUCACAAGUAAUAAUCUGUUGUUACAAGGAAAUUAUCCAGCAACUCAUAAGUUAAAUGCAUGUAGAAAUCGUUCUCCUCUUGGAGCUGCUUAUGUGAGAGCAGACUCAUUCGACACUGGCAUCACUGGUUCACCUAAUUUGCUGGAUUAUUAUCCGUGUAGCGAAGCCACACAGAUGAAAGCUAAGUUAUGGAGAGUUCGUGUCAACUCUUUGCCCUCCGGUCAGUCUCUCAACAAUUCUCAACUGCCUCAUAGUAACUUGAAGUUUUCCUCCUCCGCUUCUCAUGUUGGGAACGGAGUGAAGGCCUAAUUGGGAAUAUCAUAGAGGCUUCAUGUAGCAUCCCUCAGCAAAGUUUGGAGCAACAUAAGGAGGACUUAGAUGCACCCCUUUCUUCUGUUGGAGACACAUGUUCCCUGGGACAUGCUUCAAACCAAAAUAACAACAUUGGCAUAAAAGAGUUGAUGCAUCUUUUGCCAGCCAACAGAAUGAGGCUACUCCUUCAUUCAACCAGAACACUGAAC
Molecule: long non-coding RNA, 1385 nt
Organism: Arachis duranensis
Lineage: Eukaryota; Viridiplantae; Streptophyta; Magnoliopsida; Fabales; Fabaceae
Exons: 4
Source: RefSeq, a predicted model, not a curated record